UGGGGAAUCUUGCGCAAUGGGGGAAACCCUGACGCAGCGACGCCGUGUGCGGGAUGAAGGCCUUCGGGUUGUAAACCGCUUUCAGCAGGGACGAGGCCUUAUGGUGACGGUACCUGCAGAAGAAGCUCCGGCUAAAUACGUGCCAGCAGCCGCGGUAAUACGUAUGGAGCAAGCGUUAUCCGGAUUCAUUGGGCGUAAAGCGCUCGUAGGCGGUCUGUUAGGUCGGCAAGUUAAAUCCGGGGGCUCAACCCCCGUCCGCUUCCGAUACCGGCAGACUUGAGUUUGGUAGGGGAAGGUGGAAUUCCUAGUGUAGCGGUGGAAUGCGCAGAUAUUAGGAAGAAAACCGGUGGCGAAGGCGGCCUUCUGGGCCAUAACUGACGCUGAGGAGCGAAAGCUAGGGGAGCGAACAGG
This 411-nucleotide ribosomal RNA is filed under the name Verrucomicrobiota bacterium. RNAcentral's name for it is "Verrucomicrobia bacterium partial 16S ribosomal RNA". It matches the Rfam family "Bacterial small subunit ribosomal RNA", at positions 355 to 776 of the family's 1533-position model. Lineage: Bacteria; Pseudomonadati; Verrucomicrobiota. The record is from RNAcentral.